RNAcentral lists this non-coding RNA (149 nucleotides) under Enterococcus faecium. RNAcentral describes it as "glmS glucosamine-6-phosphate activated ribozyme". It matches the Rfam family "glmS glucosamine-6-phosphate activated ribozyme aptamer". Rfam says of the family: This entry contains a glucosamine-6-phosphate activated ribozyme that is found in the mRNA for GlmS. GlmS is an enzyme that uses fructose-6-phosphate and glutamine to generate glucosamine-6-phosphate. The ribozyme catalyses self cleavage of the glmS mRNA that is thought to regulate GlmS activity. The record is from RNAcentral. Lineage: Bacteria; Bacillati; Bacillota; Bacilli; Lactobacillales; Enterococcaceae. RNAcentral also lists the same sequence under 4 other names.
CCUUUUAGGAUAGCGCCUGGUCUGUGUAAACAGAUGACGAGGAGAGGGUUUAUCGAAAGAUUCGGCGGAUGACCCUAGGGACUGCACUCUACAGAAGAUCCACAAAAAGUAUCUGCAAAGAUAAAACAAAAGGAUUUUCCUGCAGCUGG